RNAcentral lists this ribosomal RNA (465 nucleotides) under uncultured bacterium. Its description in RNAcentral is "partial 16S ribosomal RNA". It matches the Rfam family "Bacterial small subunit ribosomal RNA", at positions 28 to 507 of the family's 1533-position model. The record is from RNAcentral.
GACGAACGCUGGCGGCAUGCUUAACACAUGCAAGUCGUACGGUAAGGCCCUUUCGGGGGUACACGAGUGGCGAACGGGUGAGUAACACGUGAGUAACCUGCCCACAACUUUGGGAUAACGCUAGGAAACUGGUGCUAAUACUGGAUAUGUGCUCCUGCUGCAUGGUGGGGGUUGGAAAGCUCCGGCGGUUGUGGAUGGACUCGCGGCCUAUCAGCUUGUUGGUGGGGUAGUGGCCUACCAAGGCGGCGACGGGUAGCCGGCCUGCGAGGGUGACCGGCCACAUUGGGACUGAGAUACGGCCCAGACUCCUACGGGAGGCAGCAGUGGGGAAUAUUGAACAAUGGGCGCAAGCCUGAUGCAGCAACGCCGCGUGCGGGAUGACGGCCUUCGGGUUGUAAACCGCUUUCAGCAGGGACGAAGCUUUUUGUGACGGUACCUGCAGAAGAAGCACCGGCUAACUACGUG